Molecule: long non-coding RNA, 167 nt
Organism: Mangifera indica (mango)
Lineage: Eukaryota; Viridiplantae; Streptophyta; Magnoliopsida; Sapindales; Anacardiaceae
Exons: 3
Source: RefSeq, a predicted model, not a curated record
AAUGCCCUUGAACUUUGCUGACUAGGUCCCUGCUGUUGGAAUUUUAAUUUCUUGUCACACUCUUUCCAUUGAUGAAUCCAGCAUGACCGAAGAGAGCAAGAUUGUUCACAAGGACUCGAGGGACCCAUUUAUAAUGUCUGGUUGCAAGGUUGCUGAUGACAAUGGCA